AGAGCGAACGCUGGCGGCAGGCUUAACACAUGCAAGUCGAGCGGGCGUAGCAAUACGUCAGCGGCAGACGGGUGAGUAACGCGUGGGAACAUACCUUUUGGUUCGGAACAACCCAGGGAAACUUGGGCUAAUACCGGAUAAGCCCUUACGGGGAAAGAUUUAUCGCCGAAAGAUUGGCCCGCGUCUGAUUAGCUAGUUGGUGAGGUAACGGCUCACCAAGGCGACGAUCAGUAGCUGGUCUGAGAGGAUGAUCAGCCACAUUGGGACUGAGACACGGCCCAAACUCCUACGGGAGGCAGCAGUGGGGAAUAUUGGACAAUGGGCGCAAGCCUGAUCCAGCCAUGCCGCGUGAGUGAUGAAGGCCCUAGGGUUGUAAAAGCUCUUUUGUGCGGGAAGAUAAUGACGGUACCGCAAGAAUAAGCCCGGCUAACUUCGUGCCAGCAGCCGC
Molecule: ribosomal RNA, 448 nt
Filed under: uncultured bacterium
Lineage: Bacteria
Description: SSU rRNA
Rfam family: Bacterial small subunit ribosomal RNA
Source: RNAcentral